Molecule: long non-coding RNA, 3871 nt
Organism: Mytilus californianus (California mussel)
Lineage: Eukaryota; Metazoa; Mollusca; Bivalvia; Mytilida; Mytilidae
Exons: 3
Source: RefSeq, a predicted model, not a curated record
GUCGUCGUCGUCAUCGUCCGAAGACACAUUAGUUUUCGCACUCUAACUUUAGUUUAAGUGAAUGGAUCUUUUUGAAAUUUGACCAUAAGGUUAAAUACCACAAAAGGAAGGUUGGGAUUGAUUUUGGGGGUUAUGGUACCAACAGUUAAGGAAUUAGGGGCCAAAAAGGGGCCAAAAAUAAGCAUUUUCUAGUUUCCAGACAAUAACUGUGGAACGGUGUAUGGAUCUCUCUGAAAUUAUACUACAAGUUUCCAUACCACAAAGGGAUGGUUAGGAUUUGCUUUGGGGGGUUAUGGCUCAAACCGUUUAGGAAUUAGGGACAAAAAAGGGGGAAAAACAAGGUUGUCCUGGUUAAUGGACAAAUACUUUAGUACAAAACAUAAUUUAAAGCAGUGUAAGGGAGAUAAAUCAAAUACAUCAUUGAAAUUAUCUCCCUUACACUGCUUUUAAAUUAUGUAUAAAGUAAUGGUAAAUGAACAAUAAAGAUAAUUUAAAACAGUGUAAGGGAGGUAAUCCAAAUACAACGUUUUGGUUACUUCCCUUACACUGCUUUUAAAUUAUGUUUAAAGAAAUGCAUAUUUAUAAAGGAAGACCAGUAAAAAUAUCUGCAAAUGUUGCAUCUUUUUUUUUUUCAAAAAAAUCAUUAUGAAAGAUUUGACACUAUAUUUUUAAUUCUAUUAUAAAAUAGAUUAAGUUAGCACUAUGGUAAAUUUAAAUGGGUAAUCAUGGUUGCCAACUCCAUUGGAAAUUUGAAUUGAGAUUAUGACCAUAUCUUGAGGGAAAGAAUUUUUUUGGGGAAAAAAGGGGGGGGGGGGGAUAAAAAGAAAUUGUGGGGUGUCAAUUUUUUCUCAUUUCAGAUUUCAGAAAUUAAAAAGAAUUAUUCUUCAAAUAUUAUUUUUUUUUCAAAUUUCAAAUAUUGAAAAAUUUCAAGAAGUAAUCUUUAAUUGCACAGUAUGGCGCAUUAGAUUUGUAAAAUCUUUGAUCACAUUUAUUUAUUUGUUAUGCCAAAUCUAACAGUGUAUUUAGAUUUUUAAUUUUGGGUCCAGUUUUCAAAAUAGUCUACAUUAAGGUCCAAAGGGUCCAAAAUUAAACUUUGUUUGAUUUUAGCAAAAAUUGAAUAUAUGAGGUUCUUUGAUAUGCUGAAUCUAAACAUGUAUUUAGAUUUUUGAUUUUUGGCCCAGUUUUCAAGUUGGUCCAAAUUGGGGUCCAAAAUUAAACUUUGUUUGAUUUCAACAAAAAUUAGAUAUAUGGGGUUCUUUGAUAUGCUGAAUCUAACCAUGUAUUUAGAUUUUUUAUUUGUGGACCCCGUUAUCAAAUUGGUUCAUAUUGAGGUCAAAAGGGUCCAAAAUUAAACUUUGUUUGAUUUCAUCUAAAAUUGAAUUAUUGGGGCUCUUUGAUAUUCCAAAUCUAACCGUGUAUUUAGAUUUUUAAUUUUGGGUCCUGUUUUUUAAAUUGGUCUACAUUAAGGUCCAAAGGGUCCAAAAUUAAACUUAGUUUGAUUUUGACAAAAAUUGAAUUCUUGGGGUUUUUUGAUAUGCUGAAUCUAAACAUGUGUUUAGAUUUUUGAUUAUGGGCCCAGUUUUCAAGUUGGUCCAAGAUAGGGUCCAGUAUUUAAACUUUGUCUGAUUUCAACAAAAAUUGAAUAUAUGGGGUUCUUUGAUAUGCUGAAUAUAAACAUGUAUUUAGAUUUUUGAUUAUGGGCCCAGUUUUCAAGUUGGUCCAAAUUGGGGUCCAAAAUUAAACUUUGUUUGAUUUCAACAAAAAUUGAAUAUAUGAGGUUCUUUGAUAUGCUGAAUCUAACCAUGUAUUUAGAUUUUUUAUUUGUAGGCCCCGCUAUCAAAUUGGUUCAUAUUGAGGUCAAAAGGGUCCAAAAUUAAACUUUGUUUGAUUUCAUCUAAAAUUGAAUUAUUGGGGCUCUUUGAUAUUCCAAAUCUAACCGUGUAUUUAGAUUUUUAAUUUUGGGUCCUGUUUUUUAAAUUGGUCUACAUUAAGGUCCAAAGGGUCCAAAAUUAAACUUAGUUUGAUUUUAACAAAAAUUGAAUUCUUGGGGUUUUUUGAUAUGCUAAAUCUAAACAUGUGUUUAGAUUUUUGAUUAUGGGCCCAGUUUUCAAGUUGGUCCAAGAUAGGGUCCAGUAUUUAAACUUUGUCUGAUUUCAACAAAAAUUGAAUAUAUGGGGUUCUUUGAUAUGCUGAAUCUAAACAUGUAUUUAGAUUUUUGAUUAUGGGCCCAGUUUUCAAGUUGGUCCAAAUUGGGGUCCAAAAUUAAACUUUGUUUGAUUUCAACAAAAAUUGAAUAUAUGAGGUUCUUUGAUAUGCUGAAUCUAACCAUGUAUUUAGAUUUUUUAUUUGUAGGCCCCGCUAUCAAAUUGGUUCAUAUUGAGGUCAAAAGGGUCCAAAAUUAAACUUUGUUUGAUUUCAUCUAAAAUUGAAUUAUUGGGGUUCUUUGAUAUUCCAAAUCUAACCGUGUAUUUAGAUUUUUAAUUUUGGGUCCUGUUUUUUAAAUUGGUCUACAUUAAGGUCCAAAGGGUCCAAAAUUAAACUUAGUUUGAUUUUAACAAAAAUUGAAUUCUUGGGGUUCUUUGAUAUGCUGAAUCUAAACAUGUGUUUAGAUUUUUGAUUAUGGGCCCAGUUUUCAAGUUGGUCCAAGAUAGGGUCCAGUAUUUAAACUUUGUUUGAGAUCAACAAAAAUUGAAUAUAUGGGGUUCUUUGAUAUGCUGAAUCUAAACAUGUAUUUAGAUUUUUGAUUAUGGGCCCAGUUUUCAAGUUGGUCCAAAUUGGGGUCCAAAAUUAAACUUUGUUUGAUUUCAACAAAAAUUGAAUAUAUGAGGUUCUUUGAUAUGCUGAAUCUAACCAUGUAUUUAGAUUUUUUAUUUGUGGGCCCCGCUAUCAAAUUGGUUCAUAUUGAGGUCAAAAGGGUCUAAAAUUAAACUUUGUUUGAUUUCAUCAAAAAUUGAAUUAUUGGGGUUCUUUGAUAUGCCAAAUCUAACCGUGUUUUUAGAUUUUUAAUUUGGGUCCCAUUUUUUAAAAUUGGUCUUCAUUGAGGUCCAAAGGGUCCAAAAUUAAACUUAGUUUGAUUUUAACAAAAAUUGAAUUCUUAGGGUUCUUUGAUAUGCUAAAUCUAAACAUGUGUUUAGAUUUUUGAUUAUGGGCCCAGUUUUCAAGUUGGUCCAAGUUGUGGUCCAAAAUUAAACUUUUUUUGAUUUCAACAAAUAUUGAAUAUAUAGGGUUCUUUGAUAUGCUGAAUCUAACCAUGAACUUAGAUUUUUUAUUUGUGGGCCCCGCUAUCAAAUUGGUUCAUAUUGAGGUCAAAAGGGUCCAAAAUUAAACUUUGUUUGAUUUCAUCAAAAAUUGAAUUAUUGGGGUUCUUUGAUAUUCCAAAUCUAACCAUGUAUUUAGAUUUUUAAUUUUAAGUCCCGUUUUUUAAAUUGGUCUACAUUAAGAUCCAAAGGGUCCAAAAUUAAACUUAGUUUGAUUUUAGCAAAAAUUGAAUUAUUGGGGUUCUUUGAUAUGCUGAAUCUGAACAUGUGUUUAGAUUUUUGAUUAUGGGCCCAGUUUUCAAGUUUGUCCAAGUUGGGGUCCAAAAUUAAACUUUGUUUGAUUUCAACAAAAAUUGAAAAUAUGGGGUUCUUUGAUAUGCUGAAUCUAACCAUGUAUUUUGAUUUUGGACAUUGGACCAUAAUAGGUAAAUUAAAAAAAUUCAAGUUCUUAGACCACAUUCUUUCUGUGUCAGAAUCCUAUGCUGUGUCAAAUAUUUGAUAACAAUCCAAAUUCAGAGCUGUAUCAAGCUUGAAUGUUGUGUCCAUACUUGCCCCAACUGUUCAGGGUUCGACCUCUGCGGUCGUAUCAAGCUGCGCCCCAGCGAAGCAUUUUA